RNAcentral lists this ribosomal RNA (484 nucleotides) under uncultured bacterium. RNAcentral's name for it is "partial 16S ribosomal RNA". It matches the Rfam family "Bacterial small subunit ribosomal RNA", at positions 30 to 507 of the family's 1533-position model. The record is from RNAcentral.
AUUGAACGCUGGCGGCAUGCUUUACACAUGCAAGUCGAACGGCAGCGCGGGCUUCUGCCUGGCGGCGAGUGGCGAACGGGUGAGUAAUACAUCGGAACGUGCCCAGUCGUGGGGGAUAGCUCGACGAAAGCCGGAUUAAUACCGCAUACGACCUGAUGGUGAAAGCGGGGGUUCUUCGGACCUCGCGGUUUUGGCGCGGCCGAUGGCAGAUUAGCUAGUUGGUGGGGUAAAGGCCUACCAAGGCGACGAUCUGUAGCUGGUCUGAGAGGACGACCAGCCACACUGGAACUGAGACACGGCCCAGACUCCUACGGGAGGCAGCAGUGGGGAAUCUUGGACAAUGGGCGAAAGCCUGACCCAGCAAUGCCGCGUGUGUGAUGAAGGCCUUCGGGUUGUAAAGCACUUUUGGCAGGAACGAAAAGGACUGUGCCAAUACCACGGUUCGAUGACGGUACCCGCAGAAUAAGCACCGGCUAACUACGUG